Molecule: ribosomal RNA, 484 nt
Filed under: uncultured bacterium
Lineage: Bacteria
Description: partial 16S ribosomal RNA
Rfam family: Bacterial small subunit ribosomal RNA
Source: RNAcentral
GUUGAACGCUGGCGGCAGGCCUAACACAUGCAAGUCGAGCGGAUGAAGGGAGCUUGCUCCUCUAUUCAGUUACGGACGGACGAGUAAUGCCUAGGAAUCUGCCUGGUAGUGGGGGAUAACGUCCGUAAACGAGCGCUAAUACCGCAUACGUCCUGAGGUAGAAAGUCGGGGAUCUUCGGACCUCACGCUAUCAGAUGAGCCUAGGUCGUAUUAGCUAGUUGGUGUGGUAAAGGCCUACCAAGGCGACGAUCCGUAACUGGUCUGAGAGGAUGAUCAGUCACACUGGAACUGAGACACGGUCCAGACUCCUACGGGAGGCAGCAGUGGGGAAUCUUCCGCAAUGGGCGAAAGCCUGAUGGAGCCACGCCGCGUGUGUGAAGAAGGUCUUCGGAUCGUAAAGCACUGUAAGUUGGGAGGAAGGGAAGUAAGUUUAACUCUUGCUGUCUUGACGUUACCAACAGAAAAAGCACCGGCUAACUUCGUG